AGAGGAGGAAGAAGAGGUGAUGAAGCAGAUACUGGAUACUACCUGGAAAAUACCUGGAAAACACCUGGAUACUACCUGGAUAAUAUAUUGAUGCAUCUUGUCUGUUUUCUGCUCCUGACUCAUUUUAACUCACAUGGUUCAUUUUUAAUCUGAAGUCCUGCAGCUCCGUGGAACCAGAACAUCAUAGUCGAGAGGUUCAGUGACUUUAGACUUCAUGAUGCAAAGGUCCCUUUGGUAUGGAAGUACUUUAGGGCCAUAGAAAUAAAUGUAUCUUAAGACACAAGUGAGAUCACACUUUGGUAAGCGUUUUUAAAAUGGCACAACUCAGAAGCUGUCAGCUCUCUCAUAACGUCUAAAACUAAAUGAGAAGCCACAAAGGCAGCCAUCAUGACUGAGAGACAGGUAGAGAAAAAAACUGAAGAUCUCCAAGACAGCCGUUCAUUACACCAAGAAAAAUCAAGCCCAACAUGGUUCUACUAAACUGCUAGCUGGUCAGGAAAUGUUAUCACCAGAUGACCGUCACUCAUCCAUUCCUGUCAGGAAUUGUACUUAGACCCCCAGGAACCUUAAAAAUGAGUGGACACUGUGGAGAAAUGGGACUUGUUCAGCAAGGACAGUUGGAAAGCGACUUGUUGAAGCUGGUCUGAAGUCACACAGGGCAGGAAGAACCCUUCAUCAAGGAAAGGCAGAGGAAAGCCUGGUUACUCUUUGCUGGGAUCACAAGGAUUAGACUGUUCAUGAUUGUUCUAAGGUUCUUUUCAGGGAUGAAUCCAGUUUUCAGUUGAUGUCCACUCCAGCCAAAUUACUGGUUAGGAGGAAGCCUGGAGAAGCUCCAAACCAGACUGUCUGCCCCUACAGUAAAACAUAGGGGUGGAUCAGUGACCAUCUGGGGUAGUUUCAGUCUGGGUGGAACAGGGCAAAUGAAUCAGGUCAUGUUUGGGGCUACUCUAGAAAACAGUCUUCUUCCAUCAGCUGGAAAACUCCUACCUCCAAUGACUGGAUUUUUCAACUAGACAAGCCAGGAAACAAACGGAUAAAACGUACCUUGUCCAAUUACUGCAACAGGAAUGAAUUGCUGUGAUGAGAAGAUGAUGGAGAGCAUGAAGAGACAUCAGGAACAAUGGUUAUGAAUCAGUACUAACUCCUGUGUGUAUCAUGGGACUAAAACAGACAGAAAAGAAAACAUGGAAUCAUAAAAGCUGUUUUUGGCAGAACAAUGACAUAGAUAUUUAUAUUAACUGUUAUUUGUAAUGUAUACUUGGGAACUGACUAUUUUUGCACUAUUUCUUAAUAUUUUCUUGCACUGAAAAGGAGAAGCUUUCCAAUUUCGUCAUGCACUGUACAAUGGCAAUAAAGCAUAUUCUAUUCUAUUCUAUUCUAUUCUAUUCUAUUCUAUUCUAUUCUAUUCUAUUCUAUAUUGAUGGAAAAACUGAAAUUAUUUUGGUGAUUAUCAAGAAAACCAUGGGAAAUGUCUGAUAUCAGCUCUGAAAUUACACGCUUAUGAGCUAUUUUUGUUGUUAUUUUUAUAUUUGUCCAAACAAAUAUACCUUGAGUUGUAGCAGGAAUUAAAAUGAACAAGAAAUUGA
Long non-coding RNA from Acanthochromis polyacanthus (spiny chromis), 1586 nucleotides. RefSeq lists it as uncharacterized. The transcript has 2 exons. The record is from RefSeq and is a predicted model, not a curated record. NCBI's taxonomy places the organism in Eukaryota, Metazoa, Chordata, Actinopteri, Pomacentridae.